This 992-nucleotide long non-coding RNA is filed under the name Triticum aestivum (bread wheat). RNAcentral describes it as "long non-coding RNA (TAES_LNC011976)". The record is from RNAcentral. Lineage: Eukaryota; Viridiplantae; Streptophyta; Magnoliopsida; Poales; Poaceae.
UGGAAUAUUGGGGUAUUUAUAAAGCAAAGAGGCGGUGUGGGAGGCCACCGAGGUGGGCACAACCCACCAGGGCACGCCCAGGUGGGUUGUGCCCCCUCGGGGCACCCCUCUGGUACUUCUUUGGCCCAUCUUGUGUCUUCUGGCCCAGAAAAAAUCUCAAAAAAGUUUCGCUGCGUUUAGACUCCAUUUGGUAUUGAUUUUCUGUGAAAUAAAAAACGAGCAAAAAACAACAUCUGGCACUGGGCACUAUGUCAAUAGGUUAGUCCAAAAAAGAUAUAAAAUUGCUAUAAAAUGAUUUUAAACAUCCAAGAAUGAUAAUAUAAUAGCAUGGAACAAUAAAAAAAUUAUAGAUACGUUGGAGACAUAUCAGGACUCCACACCCGUUUGAUUGUUUCCGCUGAAACUUACGAGGUAUAUAUAGUUUUACAUUAUUUAUACUAGUUGACCCGUUGCGUCAAAUGGCACAGAGACCUGCUGAAGACAAGCUGUUGAUGAAAAUAGUUUCAUGCUGCAAGAACCUUCAACUAAAUCAUGCUAUUUUUUAAACAUGUUUAUUACAUUGUUAAAUAAUAGGCUGGGAAAAGGGAAACUUUGCAUAAUACGAAUAUGUUCAAUUUGAAAAUAUGGCCACUAUGAUGAGAGAGUACAGUUGGCGUGGUUGUAUUUUUUUAGCAAGUUUAGAAACAUGGUUAUCAUGAUGAGAAACCUGGUCGUGCAUCUUUUUCCUGCAAAAAAAAAGAAAAAAGAUAAGAAACCUAAGAAAAAAACAUGUCUUUGUUGUGCAUAUACGGAGAUAUAGAGAUUAGGAGGUAUUAGGAUAGCCCAUACCUGCAAAAAAAAGAGGGAAAAAGAUAAAAAACCUAAGAAAGAAAACAUGUCUUUGUUGUGCAUAUACGGAGACAUAGGGAUCAAUAGGUAUUAGGAUAGCCCAUAUGUUAUUUAGCCUAGCCCACGUAGCGUGAUGCCUGUGGCCCGUGAGGAGAUGAAUAUGA